Molecule: unclassified non-coding RNA, 347 nt
Filed under: soil metagenome
Description: partial contains 5.8S ribosomal RNA, internal transcribed spacer 2, and large subunit ribosomal RNA
Rfam family: 5.8S ribosomal RNA (bases 1-120)
Source: RNAcentral
GAUGAAGAACGCAGCGAAAUGCGAUAAGUAAUGUGAAUUGCAGAAUUCAGUGAAUCAUCGAAUCUUUGAACGCACAUUGCGCCCGCCAGUAUUCUGGCGGGCAUGCCUGUCCGAGCGUCAUUUCAACCCUCGAACCCCUCCGGGGGGUCGGCGUUGGGAUCGGCACUUACCUGCCGGCCCCGAAAUACAGUGGCGGUCUCGCCGCAGCCUCUCCUGCGCAGUAGUUUGCACACUCGCACCGGGAGCGCGGCGCGUCCACGGCCGUAAAACAACCCAAACUUCUGAAAUGUUGACCUCGGAUCAGGUAGGAAUACCCGCUGAACUUAAGCAUAUCAAUAAGCGGAGGA